AAACGCAGACACCAAGUGGCUUCAGCAUGAGUCAGCGGCAAACGCCCUCAAGUCAUGAGCUGGAAUGCUCAGAAACGAUAUGUACCUUCAAUCAAAUUACAAAAUUAACUGAGGGAAAAUGAGGAAGAACUUUAGGAACUGACAGCGAGAGAUCUUCAAAAUACUAUUAAAAGAAGAAAGCACUCUCGGUGUAAAAAAGUACUCUGAUGAAACAAAGUGACAGAAGACAAAAACAUGAUUUUGAAGAAGAUGGAGAAAAAUUCACGUUAAUUACCCAGUUUCUCAUUAUUCCCUAGGGCAGGUGACUUACCAAUCCCCAACUAAUAAAAAGUUUGUCCUCUCAUAAAUCUAGUGCAAAGGCAAUGGAUGAACAAGAAUCUGAAUGUGAAUCAGACCUCCUUUUCUGUUUUCUGAGACCGAGUUUCACUCUUUCGUCCAGGCUGGAGUGAAGUGGCGUGAUCUCGGCUCACAGCAACCUCUGCCCCCACGGGUACAAGCUAUUCUCCUGCCUCAGCCUUCCGAGCAGCUGGGAUUAAAGGUGCCCGCCACCACACCCGGCUAAUUUUUGUACUUUUAGCAGAGAUGGGGUUUUACCAUGUUGGCCAGGAUAGUCUCAAACUCCUGACCUCAGGUGAUCCACCCACCUCGGCCUCCCAAAGUGCUGGGAUUACAGGCGUGAGCCACUACGCCCAGCCCAGACCUCCUUCUACAAUAUGAACACCGGACAGCAUGACUGCUAUGAAGGGGGUGGAAGUCUUCAAAAUAUUUCUUUUCUUUUCUUUUUUGACAUAACAGUCUCGCUCUGUCACCCAAGCUGAAGUGCAGUGGCACAAUCUCGACUCACUACAAUCGCCACCUCCCAGGUUCAAGCGAUCCUCCCACCUCAACCUCCAAAGUAACUGGGACUACAGGAGAGUACCACCAUGCCCAGUGAAUUUUUGUAUUUUUUGUAGAGAAAGAGUUUUGCUAUGUUGUCCAGGCUGGUCUCAAACUCCUGAGCUUGAGUGAUUCGCCUGCCUCAGCCUCCCAAAGUGCUGGGAUUACAGGCGUGAGUCACUGCACCUGGCCCAAAAUAUUUCUUAAGAAAAAAACAAUUGUUUGGACAACAUGUUAUAAGUUGUGACAGCAUUUCCACAAUCCCCCGCACACUGGAUCCUGAUAAGCCACUUUAAUCUCCAGAAUAUCUGCUUCAUUCCCUGGCAAAAUUAGGUACACCUAAGAAAACUGACUUCAGUAGAUGUUUUCAAUAAUUUUGAAAACAAGGUUUGCUCAAUGAAGUUCAGUUCAGUGACUAGAUAGAACAGACCAUAUUAUGAAACAACGGAACAACAACAAAAUACUCCAAUGGAAAAAACCAUAGAAGACACACACCAAACUGACGAUUAAGGAUCAGAGAGGAAGGGAAUGACUUCUACUUUUCACUUUAAAUAAGUCUGUGCUGUUUUCGUGUCUUAAAAAUAGCAUGUCUUUAUACUAGAAAAUAAAAUAAAUGACUUUAUUAAAACAUACCCCACACAAACUUUAGUGAAUAGUAAUAUAUUAUAGUAACAAAUUUUGUAAUUAGUAACAUUAAAGUUUUUAAACGCGCAUUUCAUUCAUUCAUUCUGUAAAUGUUUAAGGAGGAACUACUAAGGGGAAGUCACAGUGUGAAAGAUUAUGCCUUCAUCAGUCUCUUCCAG
Long non-coding RNA from Pongo pygmaeus (Bornean orangutan), 1679 nucleotides. RefSeq lists it as uncharacterized. The transcript has 3 exons. Lineage: Eukaryota; Metazoa; Chordata; Mammalia; Primates; Hominidae. The record is from RefSeq and is a predicted model, not a curated record.